GACGAACCGAGCGAACGUUGUUCGGAAUCACUGGGCUUAAAGGGCGCGUAGGCGGGCUGUCAAGUCUGGGGCGAAAUCCCGCGGCUCAACCGUGGAACUGCCUCAGAUACUGACGGCCUCGAGGGAGGUAGGGGCGAGCGGAACUGUGAGUGGAGCGGUGAAAUGCGUUGAUAUUCACAGGAACUCCGGUGGCGAAGGCGGCUCGCUGGACCUUUUCUGACGCUGAGGCGCGAAAGCUAGGGGAGCAAACGGG
This 253-nucleotide ribosomal RNA is filed under the name uncultured bacterium. RNAcentral describes it as "partial 16S ribosomal RNA". It matches the Rfam family "Bacterial small subunit ribosomal RNA", at positions 524 to 776 of the family's 1533-position model. The record is from RNAcentral.